Molecule: ribosomal RNA, 440 nt
Filed under: uncultured bacterium
Lineage: Bacteria
Description: bacterial SSU rRNA
Rfam family: Bacterial small subunit ribosomal RNA
Source: RNAcentral
CCUACGGGAGGCAGCAGUCGAGAAUUUUCACAAUGGGGGAAACCCUGAUGGAGCGACGCCGCGUGGAGGAUGAAGGCCUUCGGGUCGUAAACUCCUGUCAUGCGGGAACAAGAAAGUGAUAGUACCGCAAGAGGAAGAGACGGCUAACUCUGUGCCAGCAGCCGCGGUAAUACAGAGGUCUCAAGCGUUGUUCGGAUUCAUUGGGCGUAAAGGGUGCGUAGGUGGUCAUGUAAGUCUAAUGUGAAAUCUCGGGGCUCAACCCCGAAAUUGCAUCGGAUACUGCGUGACUAGAGGACUGUAGAGGAGAUUGGAAUUCACGGUGUAGCAGUGAAAUGCGUAGAUAUCGUGAGGAAGACCAGUUGCGAAGGCGAAUCUCUGGGCAGUUCCUGACACUGAGGCACGAAGGCCAGGGGAGCAAACGGGAUUAGAUACCCGAGUAG